RNAcentral lists this ribosomal RNA (2408 nucleotides) under Triticum aestivum (bread wheat). RNAcentral describes it as "partial small subunit ribosomal RNA". The record is from RNAcentral. Lineage: Eukaryota; Viridiplantae; Streptophyta; Magnoliopsida; Poales; Poaceae.
ACUAUGAGACUUGGACUUAGGAAGGAGACGUUAGGUAGGGGAGGAAGAAGGAGAGGUUCGGAAAGGGAGGAGGGGAUGAGCUAGGCCUAGGAGAGGGAGAGGGAGUGAAGGACCCCACAAUGUUUCCCCCUCCCGCCUCCAGAGGACCUGUUCCCGCGGUACCUACGGACGCGGCUCUCGUAGAUGUAGAAGUAGGUGUUGGAGAGUCGGUGCCGUCUACUAACACACGUUCCUUCCUCUCUACGUUUGCUAAACUCAAGGGUCAAACACGUCGGGGACUCCUAACGUAAGUACGUAACCUUCCUCAAGAUAACGACUUACCACCGUUUGGUCCUCCUCCACCGCCGUCUUUCACUGCUACUGCCACCCACACUAGGCGCAGUGUCACCGCCAGGGACCGUCUCGAGUACGGCAAACUCGAGCUGCUGCGCUGCCGACGCCGGAGACACACAGUUAGUGGUGGUGGAACUAUAAUCAUAUCUUUGAGUUAUAAUAACAUAAACAAGAAGCAUACUCACCGGUUGGGAUAUACUUAAGUCCAAACCCCAAGAACGAAGUAUAGGACAAGCUUUGAACCUUAAAAAUAACAGUUCGUAUCCCAAUGAAAGUGCCAGCGGACGUAUAAAAAGACCACCGAAUGUUCCAUUUUGUGUGUAGUACCUUAUGUCCCUCUUGUGUCUAAACAAAACGAGAAACAUGAAGACAAUCUAUCCGGUAUGGCGUCCCUCUUACACCUAGAUGAAACUAGAAGAAUGAAAAUAAUCUAUCCCGUGUAAGACAAAAGUAAUUACAGAAGCAAUGACUGCCAUGACUAUACAUUUAAAUUGUAACUACAAAUUACCACACCGUACUAAAUGUCUUUAACCAUAAAGCUAGGGAACCCUACAACGUCCACGACUGUUGGACUAUGGCAAUCUUAACCGGGAGUUUUACGUUGGUUCUAAUCUCGACGUACGUUCGCUAAACGUCAAACGUCAGGAGUUUUGAUUACACCGGACUUCCUCACGGAUGGAGCCAGAUACGUUCUUGAAAAAAUGAAAUAGAUAAAAUUGGACUUGGACUACUACUAUGUCUCUUUCUUAAUACAGACUCCAUCUGUACAAUCGAAUAUUCAUAUAAGUGGGUGUUAGGUAACCUGACGUGUACUUCUUACAGUAAUUUAUUCUCCACCUUCCAGAUUAGCCGUUCUGAGGAACACUUCUGUUGAGAUAGGUUUGUUAGCCUGUAAAAAAAUCGGCCACGUCUAAGUCAAACAUAUCGAAUCCAAAACCGUGAUAGAAAGACUUUGGAAAACGUGAUAUACUUCAGUUAAGAUACUAAAGAAAGUGUCUACACGGUUCUGCCUGUUCCUGUGGUUCGCCCCUCCCAGUAGCGGGUUGUGUACAGUCAAGAUUCUAGGAAGACCCGUGAUAAAGUUACUUUAAACUAUUUUAAAUGGUAAAGAGAAAUAAAUUUUUUAGAAUGUCAAGUCAAGUUUUUCUUCCCAUAAUAUACCACGUAUUUACUCAACGGGACCAAACACCCGUGGAUUCACUCCUAAGGUUUCUUCACAACACCAUCAUGUCUUUACCGUCACACGGUGGAUUUAAGUAUUAACUACAAGAAGCAUCAAGCAACCUAACUCAUAAUCCAUCACUGAUACGUACAAUACAACUUCAUAACUAAAAAAAUCAUCCUACAGUACACGAGAUUUAUAAUAAAAGUCAUUAUUACGUUCUUACAUCCACGGUUGACAUUUACAGCCCUCUUUUUGAAUGGGAUACCUCUACGUAGAUUCACGGUGUACUCAAAUAUAAAUAUAGUCGGCUCGAUUAAAAUAUUUAACAAAGAAGAAGUACUUAAAUAGUUAAUCAAAAUAAUUAAGUAACCGUAACACCUUUAUUUUGAUUUAAUUAAACAUAGAGUAACCGACGAGAAGGUAUAAACUCCGAGAGGAAAAACGUAAACGUUGUUUCUUCUCUUCUCCACCUCGAUCGUAUGGACGUCUACCCGACCACUGCCACUCCAGCGGGCGUUCAUGUGGGUUGAGACCGACUCCUACAGCCGAGGACGAAGGACACCAAUACUUUAUACAACGAAACACCGAUAACUAAUUUCUUACCUAUCAGUUCAAUCGAUUCAAGAAGGCCCUUUUAAGUAACCUAAAACUUAUCGACUAUAUAUACAGUUAACAGUACAUUGCAUAUGCAGCAUGAAAACCUUAUGAAUGAGAAGGUAAAAACACCUCCACACUACAUCUGUUCAUAAGUCGGUACGUAGUACUUAUAUUAAUUACUUCAAAGAUAGGGAAAGCCAACAUGUUAGUAGGUAGACCGAGUAUACAUAUCUCAACAGCGGAAUGGCUCAAUCGAAAUAAUAUAUUACGGACGAGAAACGAUUUAUAAGAUAACGUUCAUAGUUCCUUUUAA